GCAACUCGGGAGCCCAUUAUAUUACAUUCUAAAGUAUGGCUCUGGAAUCAACGUGUGUCAACAUAACAGCAGCAUUGGUCUACAUACAUACAUUACCAAUAAAAGACACAUACACACAGCUCUAAUUGGUGGUAAACAGCAAGUAUUUAAUGAAAUGAUACGUACCAGAUCUAUUGUAUUAUUGUUACAGUUUCUGUAGGGGUUAUUCUACGGUUCUUCUCAUUGUUGUACUGAACACAUAUAUACAAUGAACAUUCAGCUAUCAUCACAGAUUGCACACUAGAUACUGUAGUAAUGCAGUCUAAUACAAGACCAUCAAAAUAAUACAUUAUUUAAAUUUGAUCAGUCCUUAUUUUUUUUUCUCCCAUAAAGAAUACAAAAAGGCCACCCAGAGUUGGGGCACAUCUCCAGCACUCCCAUCGUAACUGUACACCGACCUAUCGCUUGGGGGGUUAAUAAUGGCUUAAAACAACUCAAAUGCGUUGAGAAAAAGAAGAAAAAAAAUCACGAAAAAAAUUAUUAAAAUAAACCCUAAAAAUAAUGCAGUUAAAACAUGUACAAUGCAACUGGACACAAAGUCAGUUGUGUUAAUCCACACAAAACACGUAACAACUUCCUGACAGAAAAAUAAUAAUAAACACAAAAUUAAAAACCCAGUUAAUAAUUGCAUAAAUACUUUAUACAGUUCAUUUCACUCUGGAGAAGAAAUGCACCCUUUUCUUUAAAAUGAUAGCCUGACAACAUAAAAUUGCAUUCGAUAAAAAUCCUGAUUCUUAUUCCUCUCUAAACUUUUUUGUUAUUGUUUUUUUUGUACAUGGAGAAGGUGGAAAUAAUGAACUCAGAUGAAUAAUAAUAAUAAUAAUAAUAUUAAUAAGCCAUCUGGUUUAUUUUGAAGUUGCUUAGUAACAGACAUGUUAUCAGCUGGCUGCUAUGAUACAGUACAUAUUUAGAGUGAUUUACCAAUAGUGAUAAGAGUGCAUAUUACACGGAGGGGGGGAAAGUCGUCGCACUGUAAUCAAUUAUUAACUACUCAUUGACUGCACUUGUGUAACAGCUCUUUAAGUGUUUUAGCUGUCAGAAGAGACUCUCCAAAAAAGUAAAAAAUAAAAUUAAAAUAAAGUGUAAAAAUAAAAAGUGAUUUCUAGUAAAGAAAGCAGCACUUCAAUGCACCGUUGCCCACAGCAUCAUCAACAUACAGAACACGACGAAUGAACGAGGAGGGAUACAGAUCGAUGACGAACCAUGACGAAAACAAACUAUGUUCGUAUUUCACGGUCCCCACAUAUACAUCGAGAAAUAUUCCUAACAUACGCCACACGUAGCUAGCUAACGACAUCUAAGAGUGAAAUGUGACGAGCAAAUCGCUUUUCUUGUGACCGACAGAGUGGAUUUCAUGCUGCAAUCAACUACAGAGAUCGUCCUCAGUCAAAUAUAUAUAGUAGAUGUAAAACACCUAGAACAUUUUAGAUUAUCUCUCACUAACACACACUACUGGGUCUCAUCUCUAGUUUCUACCGCUGCUGUUCCAUAGGUCUCAUCUCUAGUUUCUACCGCUGCUGUUCCAUAGGUCUCAUCUCUAGUUUCUACCGCUGCUGUUCCAUAGGUCUCAUCUCUAGUUUCUACCGCUGCUGUUCCAUAGGUCUCUCUGGUUAACUGGGUCUCAUCUCUAGUUUCUACCGCUGCUGUUCCAUAGGUCUCUC
This is a non-coding RNA of Salmo salar (Atlantic salmon), 1700 nucleotides long. The record is from RefSeq and is a predicted model, not a curated record. NCBI's taxonomy places the organism in Eukaryota, Metazoa, Chordata, Actinopteri, Salmoniformes, Salmonidae.